RNAcentral lists this non-coding RNA (22 nucleotides) under Arabidopsis thaliana (thale cress). The record is from RNAcentral. Lineage: Eukaryota; Viridiplantae; Streptophyta; Magnoliopsida; Brassicales; Brassicaceae.
UUGAGGGCAGGAACAUUGACUU